RNAcentral lists this long non-coding RNA (3890 nucleotides) under Nicotiana tabacum (common tobacco). Its description in RNAcentral is "long non-coding RNA (NTAB_LNC003488)". Lineage: Eukaryota; Viridiplantae; Streptophyta; Magnoliopsida; Solanales; Solanaceae. The record is from RNAcentral.
UUUAUCUUUAACUCCAUAAGACUACAAGUAUAGUUUUGUCACAACCCAAAAUCCCACCACAGGUGUCGUGAUGGCACUUGGUCUCUAAAACUAAGUAAGCCUGUUAUAAUUACAAUUCAAGCCAAUUUUUUUUUUAAAAAAAAAAAUAGAUAAUCGAAACCAACGGAAAUAAUUACAAACCUCCCAAAACUGGUAAUACUGAGUCACGAACUCUACAUGAAAUGAUCUCAAGGAUCGAAUACUCAAUACUGUUUGAUUAAUAAUUAACAGUACAAUAAAAUGGAAAGACUCCAGGGGACUGCGAUGACCAAGCAGCUCUACCUUGAAUCCUUGCGAUCACACUUUAACGCUGUCCGAGUCCGAUAUCUCCAAUACCUGGCUCUGCACAAAAAUGUGCAGAAGUGUAGUAUGAGUACACCACAGUCGGUACCCAGUAAGUAUCAAGACUAACCUCAGUGGAGUAGUGACAAGGUACAUUCAAGACACUCACCAGUCUAAUAACUUGUGCAAUAUAGUAUACAAAAAUAAUAGGAAACAAAUAACAAUGAUGGAAACAAUAAUCAACCAAUAAUAUACACAGCAGGGCAACAAGAACACCAUAAAUAUUGCUCAACAAAUAAUGAAUAUAAGUAUAACAAAUUAAUCAAGUCCUUCAAAUAUAAAUCUUUCGCCUAUAUAUUUUUCAAAUAAUAAUCUUCAGAAUAUAAUACUUUCCAAUAAAUAUAUUUCGAAUAUACUCCCUUCAAAUAAAUAUCUUUCAAAUAUAAUUAUUUCAAAUAAAUCUCUUUCAAAUAUAAUUCUUUCGAAUAAAAGUCACCAUGUGACACCUCAUUUCAAAAUCAAUAAGAAUACAGAUCUCAGCCCACUUUCAUAUUUCCACGGCACCUCGUACCAAUUUCUCUAUCACAACCGCACGGACAACUCACGUGCCAAUAUCAUCAUCAUUUACUCACGGCACCUCGUGCCCACAUUUCAUAUCACAACUGCACAGACAAUUCACGUGUCAAUAUCAUCAUUAUUUACUCACGGCACCCCGUGCCCACAUUUCAUUUCAUAAUCCGCCUCGUGCCCACAUUUCAUUUCUGCAAUUUGCACCUUCCUACCUCAGCUUUUACCAUGAAGAAAGCCAGUUUCUUAUUCAUUCAUUUCUUGGAACUUUCACUUUUCGGGCAUAGUAUUUCUCUCUGUUUUUCUUUUGAACACAGAAAAAAGUUUACUUGACCUACUCCGAAGAUUUCUAAAUUGACCUGAGAUUCAGCACAGAUCUAGUGUACGCAAACCUUACCCUUACCUUAUGUAGGUAGAGUGGUUAUUUCUAUUAAUGUUGUUGUGAAUUUUAUGAGUUAUUAACGUGUCGCUAAUUCCUGUUUUAGUAAUGAUGCUAAUGUAUAACCAUUAUAAAAUCAUACAUAGUUAUUAUGUAUUCUGUGGAUGGUUAAGUUUCUAAACUUUUUCCCUUUACCUUGUUCUUUAUUUACAGUAUUUCUCAACAUAAUAAACAAAGAAUAAAUAAUUUAACAAAAAGAGAAAAUUAAAAGAAAUGCUGUCUUUGUUAAUCAAAACCACCAUUCCUCUAACAGCUUAGUUAUAAUCCAUUAAAUAAAAGGCACAUCUAUUCAAACUAGUGAGUGUCAUGCAACAAAUAGACAGGUUCUGGAAUCAACGUUGACACACGCACGUAAUAACAACUCACAAUAACUUCACCACCGAACCAACAAUUAAUAUACACUAGCUUUACUUAUAGGGGUCAGCUAAAAUCAGAAGCUUUCUACUGCAUUAAAGCACACACUAAGUCCUGGAGUAGUAAAAUCUAAAUCUACAGUUAAGAGAUUGUUGGGAACUUACUACUCGAUUUCGCCGGAGAAAGAGAAAGAGAGCUGAGAAACAAGUCCACGGCCAAAUGAGAAUGAAGUUGAGCACUGCCGUAAUUUGAAAUUGAAGCGAAAACCAAAAGUACAGAGAGAAAAAGAAGGUACAAGUCAAUAGAUCAAUCAAUCAACUAUAUCUCAAUGAACCUUAAAUAAAAUCACUGAACAAGUUACUCAAUUUAAACUCAUCUCAUGUAAAUAUUAUGGACAUACAGAAAAGAAGUAUUAGAAAAGUUCUGCUAAUUUUCUAGACGUAUAAAUCUAUGAAAGGUUAAAUCACUCUUAGAAAGCAUAGGCCCUACUGUAAUAGUGCUAACCUCUAAAACAGAUGAAAACACACGAAUUAACAGCUGGAGCUCAAUAGUUUUAUGGUCUGAUUAACAAUGUAAACGACCAGAGUCUUCUGAAUCUUCAAAGUUAUGAAGGAAUGAAAGAAUGCAUAGCAAAAAUUACAGGAAAUUAAGGAGGUGCACAGAUGCCUUCACAUUGGGGUUGAUUUAAUACAGACUUAAUAACAGAAGAUUGUAAUCACCUGUAGUUGAGACACUCCAACUCCCAAAACACACACACAAAAACAGAGAUUCAAGGGAAGAAGAGAGGACAGUGUGACUGAACAACCAUGAAGGAAGUAGUUAAACAGAUUCAAAUUUUCAAUUAUCUAUAUUAUCUGCAAAAGAAUGAUGUAGUAGUUAAUAGGAAAAGUAUCUCUGGUCACACUUACUAAUCCAUCCCUUCUCAGUUUUGAUCAACCUGCUAUGCUUUAACCCAACAAGUUGGACAUGAAAUUAUCUCGGGUCACUCUUACAAUUCUGUUCAUAUGCUUAUAUAUAACAAUGUGACUGUGCUACAUAAUGCUUCUAGCUUUAAAUAAAUAUUUGAUUGACAUAGCUAAAUGCAUCUAAGAUUUGUAUCACAAUAUUGACGUGAUAUCAUGACAAGCCUCAGCAUAUGCAUUUUUAUUUCUCCAAUAAGUAAACCUCAACAUAUACACAACAAUAAAAAUUGAGCUAGUUGCCCCGAAAAAUAUUUGUUCCAAACUUAAUUUCCUUCAUAACUUUUUUGUAAACGAAUGCAUAGAGGUCUGAUUAACAAUGCAUAGCAAAAAUUACAGGUCUGAUUAACAAUGCUUGAAAAAUGUAAACGAAUUAAAAAUGAAAGAAUGCAUAGAGGAGGAAGAUUCCAAGGUAACAACAGAGAAAUACAACAACAAAAGGAGCUCCAAUAACAGUAACAACAGUAAGGAAUCUUCUGAAUCUUCAAAGGAGAAGUCCAAAAUUACUGAAGAUAAAAGGCCCGACUAUAUUCAUGUCAGAGCACGUCGAGGUCAAGCCACUGAUAGUCACAGCUUAGCUGAACGAGUGAGUUAUAGAUUUGGUCCAAGUGUUUUUUACUACAUAUUACUACUGUAAUAGUGCUAACCUCUAAAACUGAUGAAAACACACGAAUUACUGAUAAAGAUUCAAUCUAUUAUGGCCAUAUUCACUAUUUAACUAGCAAAAAUACAAAGCACUGUACAAAGCAUAUUUUGAGGCUAUUAUUUAUGCACCGAGAGUAGAUACAAAGCAUAAGAUCUAUUUCAUAGUUCGUAUUUUACAAAAAUAAUUGCAUAAAAAAGAUAUUAGGGUUCCGGACUGAAGAGAUACGCAUAGAAGAAAAUACAGGGAGAGAAGAAAGGUGCUUACCACUCGAUUUCUCAACCGAGUACGCCGGAGAAGGAGAUUAAGAAGAGCAGCAGCCGAGCGCGGCCUCAACUCGCCAAAGAAGACGACCGAAUUGGAGUUGGAGGCCUUUUCCAGUAAAUAAACAUAAACAAAUAAUGGGAAGUUUAGAAGGAAAACGAAUUACUGCAGAGAGGUGAUUGUUUUGAGGUCUUUUUGACUGAUUUUCGCUGAUUUUUUAUCUGAUUUCAAGGUGAUUUGGACUGGAGGAGCUAUUUUGCUGGAAGAAGUGGUGAAGAUGACUGGAGGAGAUAAACGAUCUCCUUGUAAUUUCCGCCGAUAGUGAGCUGAUUGUACCCUAAUU